This 2927-nucleotide ribosomal RNA is filed under the name Escherichia coli. Its description in RNAcentral is "partial 23S ribosomal RNA". It matches the Rfam family "Bacterial large subunit ribosomal RNA". Lineage: Bacteria; Pseudomonadati; Pseudomonadota; Gammaproteobacteria; Enterobacterales; Enterobacteriaceae. The record is from RNAcentral.
GGGUUGUGAGGUUAAGCGACUAAGCGUACACGGUGGAUGCCCUGGCAGUCAGAGGCGAUGAAGGACGUGCUAAUCUGCGAUAAGCGUCGGUAAGGUGAUAUGAACCGUUAUAACCGGCGAUUUCCGAAUGGGGAAACCCAGUGUGUUUCGACACACUAUCAUUAACUGAAUCCAUAGGUUAAUGAGGCGAACCGGGGGAACUGAAACAUCUAAGUACCCCGAGGAAAAGAAAUCAACCGAGAUUCCCCCAGUAGCGGCGAGCGAACGGGGAGCAGCCCAGAGCCUGAAUCAGUGUGUGUGUUAGUGGAAGCGUCUGGAAAGGCGCGCGAUACAGGGUGACAGCCCCGUACACAAAAAUGCACAUGCUGUGAGCUCGAUGAGUAGGGCGGGACACGUGGUAUCCUGUCUGAAUAUGGGGGGACCAUCCUCCAAGGCUAAAUACUCCUGACUGACCGAUAGUGAACCAGUACCGUGAGGGAAAGGCGAAAAGAACCCCGGCGAGGGGAGUGAAAAAGAACCUGAAACCGUGUACGUACAAGCAGUGGGAGCACGCUUAGGCGUGUGACUGCGUACCUUUUGUAUAAUGGGUCAGCGACUUAUAUUCUGUAGCAAGGUUAACCGAAUAGGGGAGCCGAAGGGAAACCGAGUCUUAACUGGGCGUUAAGUUGCAGGGUAUAGACCCGAAACCCGGUGAUCUAGCCAUGGGCAGGUUGAAGGUUGGGUAACACUAACUGGAGGACCGAACCGACUAAUGUUGAAAAAUUAGCGGAUGACUUGUGGCUGGGGGUGAAAGGCCAAUCAAACCGGGAGAUAGCUGGUUCUCCCCGAAAGCUAUUUAGGUAGCGCCUCGUGAAUUCAUCUCCGGGGGUAGAGCACUGUUUCGGCAAGGGGGUCAUCCCGACUUACCAACCCGAUGCAAACUGCGAAUACCGGAGAAUGUUAUCACGGGAGACACACGGCGGGUGCUAACGUCCGUCGUGAAGAGGGAAACAACCCAGACCGCCAGCUAAGGUCCCAAAGUCAUGGUUAAGUGGGAAACGAUGUGGGAAGGCCCAGACAGCCAGGAUGUUGGCUUAGAAGCAGCCAUCAUUUAAAGAAAGCGUAAUAGCUCACUGGUCGAGUCGGCCUGCGCGGAAGAUGUAACGGGGCUAAACCAUGCACCGAAGCUGCGGCAGCGACGCUUAUGCGUUGUUGGGUAGGGGAGCGUUCUGUAAGCCUGUGAAGGUGUGCUGUGAGGCAUGCUGGAGGUAUCAGAAGUGCGAAUGCUGACAUAAGUAACGAUAAAGCGGGUGAAAAGCCCGCUCGCCGGAAGACCAAGGGUUCCUGUCCAACGUUAAUCGGGGCAGGGUGAGUCGACCCCUAAGGCGAGGCCGAAAGGCGUAGUCGAUGGGAAACAGGUUAAUAUUCCUGUACUUGGUGUUACUGCGAAGGGGGGACGGAGAAGGCUAUGUUGGCCGGGCGACGGUUGUCCCGGUUUAAGCGUGUAGGCUGGUUUUCCAGGCAAAUCCGGAAAAUCAAGGCUGAGGCGUGAUGACGAGGCACUACGGUGCUGAAGCAACAAAUGCCCUGCUUCCAGGAAAAGCCUCUAAGCAUCAGGUAACAUCAAAUCGUACCCCAAACCGACACAGGUGGUCAGGUAGAGAAUACCAAGGCGCUUGAGAGAACUCGGGUGAAGGAACUAGGCAAAAUGGUGCCGUAACUUCGGGAGAAGGCACGCUGAUAUGUAGGUGAAGUCCCUUGCGGAUGGAGCUGAAAUCAGUCGAAGAUACCAGCUGGCUGCAACUGUUUAUUAAAAACACAGCACUGUGCAAACACGAAAGUGGACGUAUACGGUGUGACGCCUGCCCGGUGCCGGAAGGUUAAUUGAUGGGGUUAGCGGUAACGCGAAGCUCUUGAUCGAAGCCCCGGUAAACGGCGGCCGUAACUAUAACGGUCCUAAGGUAGCGAAAUUCCUUGUCGGGUAAGUUCCGACCUGCACGAAUGGCGUAAUGAUGGCCAGGCUGUCUCCACCCGAGACUCAGUGAAAUUGAACUCGCUGUGAAGAUGCAGUGUACCCGCGGCAAGACGGAAAGACCCCGUGAACCUUUACUAUAGCUUGACACUGAACAUUGAGCCUUGAUGUGUAGGAUAGGUGGGAGGCUUUGAAGUGUGGACGCCAGUCUGCAUGGAGCCGACCUUGAAAUACCACCCUUUAAUGUUUGAUGUUCUAACGUUGACCCGUAAUCCGGGUUGCGGACAGUGUCUGGUGGGUAGUUUGACUGGGGCGGUCUCCUCCUAAAGAGUAACGGAGGAGCACGAAGGUUGGCUAAUCCUGGUCGGACAUCAGGAGGUUAGUGCAAUGGCAUAAGCCAGCUUGACUGCGAGCGUGACGGCGCGAGCAGGUGCGAAAGCAGGUCAUAGUGAUCCGGUGGUUCUGAAUGGAAGGGCCAUCGCUCAACGGAUAAAAGGUACUCCGGGGAUAACAGGCUGAUACCGCCCAAGAGUUCAUAUCGACGGCGGUGUUUGGCACCUCGAUGUCGGCUCAUCACAUCCUGGGGCUGAAGUAGGUCCCAAGGGUAUGGCUGUUCGCCAUUUAAAGUGGUACGCGAGCUGGGUUUAGAACGUCGUGAGACAGUUCGGUCCCUAUCUGCCGUGGGCGCUGGAGAACUGAGGGGGGCUGCUCCUAGUACGAGAGGACCGGAGUGGACGCAUCACUGGUGUUCGGGUUGUCAUGCCAAUGGCACUGCCCGGUAGCUAAAUGCGGAAGAGAUAAGUGCUGAAAGCAUCUAAGCACGAAACUUGCCCCGAGAUGAGUUCUCCCUGACCCUUUAAGGGUCCUGAAGGAACGUUGAAGACGACGACGUUGAUAGGCCGGGUGUGUAAGCGCAGCGAUGCGUUGAGCUAACCGGUACUAAUGAACCGUGAGGCUUAACCUUACAACGCCGAAG